UGGCCACAUCACAUUGAAACAUCAAUUCUCAUAUGAUCACCAAAGUUAAGCAAUGUUAAGCUUGGUCAGUACCUAGAUGGGUGACUGCUUGAGAAUACCAGGUGCUGUAAG
Molecule: non-coding RNA, 111 nt
Organism: Acanthosepion pharaonis
Lineage: Eukaryota; Metazoa; Mollusca; Cephalopoda; Sepiida; Sepiidae
Source: the annotation of a GenBank genome assembly